GGGGGCCGUGAUCCCCCUGCUCGGGCCGCGUCCCGGUCCCCAAAUCCAGCUUCCAGCCGGGAUGUCCUCCCGCAGGGCGAGCAAUGCGGGCAGUGCCCUCCCACCCCGCAAGCCCUCCGAGGGACAGCGACAGUGCAGGCGGUGCCGGGGCCCCCGGGAGAAAAGGGCCCUGGUGGCCCCCCGGGCAGAGCGGUGAGUGUCCCCUGUGCCCGCCGGGCCCGUUUUGGGGGCGAUGCCCCACCCUGAGCCAUUCCUGCGUUUCCUCCAGGGCAGACCCGGCGACGCUGGCGAGAAGGGACAGAAGGGCGACGCUGGCAGCCCCGGGGACCCGGGCAGCCCGGGCAUGGCCGGUGUCCCAGGGCUGUCGGGUGAGCCUGGCAUCAGGGGACCAGCCGGCCCCAAAGGCGACAAGGGAGACCCGUGCCAGCCCGGCCCCGCCGGGCUCGGGGACCUCUUGGACACGGUGGGAAUCCCGGGAAAACCCGGAGCCAAAGGGGACCAGGGCCCGCCGGGCAUCGGCCAGCCGGGCAGACCCGGGAAGCCGGGGCUGCCGGGGGUGCAGGGCCCUGCUGGGCCGAAGGGGCUGCAGGGUGAGCCAGGACCGCGGGGGAUCAGCCAGCCGGGACCACAGGGAGACCCCGGGAGCACCGGACCCCCUGGACCCCCUGGCCCCCCCGGACCGCAGGGACCCCCGGGCACGGCGGCAGAGAAAGGUGCCAAGGGAUCUCCGGGCCCCAAAGGUGCCACGGGACCCCCUGGACCACCAGGGAGCAGCGUCACAGGGCCACCGGGCCCCGAGGGGCGGCAGGGGCUCCCUGGGUCCAGCGGGCAGCCGGUAGGUGCAGAGUGGGCUCCGGGGGGAUGUGCGGGGGCUCUGGGUGGUCACACGGUGGGUGGGGGCACCGGGGGCUGCCCUAAUGCCCAUCUCCGUUUUCCUCUGGCAGGGGGAGAAGGGUUCCCGGGGAGA
Molecule: long non-coding RNA, 967 nt
Filed under: Cyanistes caeruleus (blue tit)
Lineage: Eukaryota; Metazoa; Chordata; Aves; Passeriformes; Paridae
Description: lncRNA (ENSCCEG00000011813.1)
Source: RNAcentral